AGGACGAACGCUGGCGGCGUGCUUAACACAUGCAAGUCGAGGGGGCAGUUGGGGCAACCUGGCUGUCACCGGCGAACGGGUGCGUAACACGUGAGCGACCUACCUCUUGGCGGGGGGAUAGCCGGCCCAACGGCCGGGUAAUACCGCAUACGCUCCCUUCUGGGCAUCUGGAGGGGAGGAAACUUUCGAGGCAGAGAGAGGGGCUCGCGGCCUAUCAGCUAGUUGGCGGGGUAACGCCCACCAAGGCAUCGACGGGUAGC
This 260-nucleotide ribosomal RNA is filed under the name uncultured bacterium. RNAcentral's name for it is "partial small subunit ribosomal RNA". It matches the Rfam family "Bacterial small subunit ribosomal RNA", at positions 26 to 287 of the family's 1533-position model. The record is from RNAcentral.